This is a long non-coding RNA of Apis dorsata (giant honeybee), 398 nucleotides long. RefSeq lists it as uncharacterized. The transcript has 3 exons. The record is from RefSeq and is a predicted model, not a curated record. NCBI's taxonomy places the organism in Eukaryota, Metazoa, Arthropoda, Insecta, Hymenoptera, Apidae.
ACUCGAUUCGCUUUUGAACAGCGGUGUACAAUGGUGUACAAAUACUAGCAUGGAACCUCGACAUAAUAGACGAUAAAUCUCGAGACGAAAACAGCGAAGACGGGACGAGUGCUAUCAAGGAAUCGCGACACGUAGCAGAUUCUCGAAAGAUAUUUCAUUAGCCGAACGGGACAUUCUCAAGACCAAUGGACAAUGAACGACCGAACGAAGGCUGCCUGGUAUUCUUCAACGCGACAGGAUGCACAAUACCAGUCGGAGAAUAAACGAGGCGACAUUGCUGGCUGCAGUUUACCGGGUUGGAUUAAACAAAUGCAAAAUUCUACUUCCACUGUAAGUACCUGAAACUGACAAUCCGAACGGAAGUCGGUAAAGAAGAGUAAAGAGGCAAGAAAAAAAAA